CCUACGGGAGGCAGCAGUGGGGAAUAUUGGACAAUGGGCGAAAGCCUGAUCCAGCAAUGCCGCGUGAGUGAUGAAGGCCUUAGGGUUGUAAAGCUCUUUUACCAGGGAUGAUAAUGACAGUACCUGGAGAAUAAGCUCCGGCUAACUCCGUGCCAGCAGCCGCGGUAAUACGGAGGGAGCUAGCGUUGUUCGGAAUUACUGGGCGUAAAGCGUGCGUAGGCGGUGAUUCAAGUCAGAGGUGAAAGCCUGGAGCUCAACUCCAGAACGGCCUUUGAAACUAGAUCGCUAGAAUUAUGGAGAGGUAAGUGGAAUUCCGAGUGUAGAGGUGAAAUUCGUAGAUAUUCGGAAGAACACCAGUGGCGAAGGCGACUUACUGGACAUAUAUUGACGCUGAGGUACGAAAGCGUGGGGAGCAAACAGGAUUAGAUACCCUGGUAGUCCACGCCGUAAACGAUGAUAACUAGCUGUUCGGGCUCUCAGAGCUUGAGUGGCGCAGCUAACGCAUUAAGUUAUCCGCCUGGGGAGUACGGUCGCAAGAUUAAAACUCAAAAGAGUAAGUUAGACGUGUAGAGUACGCGACGAGGACACGACGGAGGUUAGAGG
This 603-nucleotide ribosomal RNA is filed under the name uncultured bacterium. RNAcentral's name for it is "bacterial SSU rRNA". It matches the Rfam family "Bacterial small subunit ribosomal RNA", at positions 338 to 1417 of the family's 1533-position model. The record is from RNAcentral.